Non-coding RNA from Caenorhabditis brenneri, 72 nucleotides. The record is from the annotation of a GenBank genome assembly. Lineage: Eukaryota; Metazoa; Nematoda; Chromadorea; Rhabditida; Rhabditidae.
GAACGCAUGGCGCAGCGGAUAGCGCAGUUGUAUUUGAAAUUGAGGUUCCGGGUUCGAACCUCGUCGGGGUCA